GCUGUGUUAUUGGCCGUCCGAAACAUGUUACCCUACAACAUCUGUGCCAAAGGUGAAAAUUCUUGUGAAACGUGAAAGAAAAUAUCGGGACCUCGUUGUAAGCAAGACACAGAUGAGAAAACCGAUCACUACGUUUCAAGUGAAUAAAAUAAAGCGUUUAUAGCGGCGAAAUAACGCAUUUCAAUAGUUGCAUGCACAAUACCAACUUUAGUAAAGUGUUUAUCCAGCCACUUGAGAUCCAUAGCCACACAAAUGAAGAAUUUGACCGUUAUUAUACAGGAAGUAGGGCCUACCAGCACGCUGAAAACAUGUGACCUUUUCACAUUUGUAGAACAAACCAUUCCCACAACGUUGGCACAGUUGCAUAACGACAAUGUUUUCUGAAUUUGCAUACUAUUCUGCUCAGGAGUAUAGAAUCUAGUACGUCAUAAUGCAAAACCGACACCUGCUGCAUUCCUGUCGUAUGCGUUCUUCUUUGCAGUGGACACUGACUUGGCCUCAGGUCACACCACCUCAGCAAGGCAUC
Schistocerca cancellata (South American locust) is the source of this 526-nucleotide long non-coding RNA. RefSeq lists it as uncharacterized. NCBI's taxonomy places the organism in Eukaryota, Metazoa, Arthropoda, Insecta, Orthoptera, Acrididae. The transcript has 2 exons. The record is from RefSeq and is a predicted model, not a curated record.